This is a long non-coding RNA of Neofelis nebulosa (Clouded leopard), 2099 nucleotides long. RefSeq lists it as uncharacterized. The record is from RefSeq and is a predicted model, not a curated record. Lineage: Eukaryota; Metazoa; Chordata; Mammalia; Carnivora; Felidae. The transcript is spliced from 3 exons.
GCUCUACAGACGAUGUUGUCAAGAGAAUCAGACGACAAGUCACAGACUGGAAGAGAAUAUUUGCAAAAGUCCUAUCUGAUAAAGAGCAUCCUGUCCGUUCCCUUCAUUCUGCUGAGGUCCAGAGAAGCAAAAUGCCUUGUCCAAGACCACUGAGUGGGAAAGGGAGUCUGACAUGAUAGAGAAUAAUGAAGUUUUGGAGUGAUGGUGGGGUGAUCCAGAGCCAACGACCAAGAAAGAAUUCUUGAAGAUGUCUUUGGUGCAAAAAGGCUCCUUUCCCAGCGUGGGGCUUGAACUCAGGACCCUGAUAUCAAGAGUCAUAUGCUUCACUGACUGAGCCAGCCAGGUGCCCCCCAUUGUGCUCAUUUCUUAUUGCACUUUCUUGAAGCAUUGAUGAAAGUAUUUGCAAGGACCAGAGAACAUUCCAAUCAUCAGGCCAGAAAAGCCCUGAUAGCAAGAGAUGCUUAGAAGACCACCCCCAUACACCCCUUUCCUGGUCAAUGAUCAAGAACACAUACUGACCCCCACCCAUGAUCAUGUGCUCUCCGCCUGCUCUCUUGUAUGUACUGCCCCUCCCCCCCCACCUCUCCUUAUGAAAUUCUAGGUGUCCAUCUUGUAGGUGAAGCAGUUGGUUGGGAAGGCUUGAUUGUCUGUCACCUCCCCUGGCUGCUGUCACCAAAACCAAUUUUCCCCUUUCUCUUCCCAAACCUCAUCUGUUGCAUUAUUGUCUUCUUGAGUGAGGAGUUUGGCUGCUUGUUAGGCCACAGUCUUGGCAAACCCAGACAGGACAGGUGACCUUGAUUUGUCCAGGUCAAUGAACCUUGGGAUUCAUUCCCCUAGUUGGAGCAGUUGGCCAAGGCAGUGCACCGGGGCUGACUCAUUCAUUUCCUGAGUUCGUGGCUGUGAUAGACUGUUCAGUAACAAAAGCAUCAGACUGGAACAGUGAUUGCCUGUAAAUGACCAAAAAACUUAAAAAUGCCCGUGGGUUAAGAUCUGAUGAGAGUUCAUUUCACAAGCAAGUGUAGUUAUUUCUGUGGCAAAAAAUAAUUUAGGGUGAUAACUGAACAAUGAGGCUACUGACAAAUUUCUAGAACCUUUAAACAAUUUCUGGAAUACCUAAAUCAGUAAAUAGAUCCACAUGCGUAUAACCUAAGAAGGUUUAACAUCACUUCUUAUUUUACAGUGCUUCCCAUAUAACUUAACAUACCAAAUAAGCCUAAUUAGUUUAAUAUCUCUCCUUCACAGAGGUGAUAAGUCCUUUGAGGUUUCCAGGCACCCUGUAGCAAAUCUCAAAUCACAAAGACUCUAUUUAGAAUGAUUUAGAAAAGUUGUCAAAAUGGCAAAGGGUUUGAACAUUUGACUCAAUAACAUCGCAGAUCAUUAUGAAAUAAUACAUAAUUACCUAUUUAAUGAAAGUGACAAUAAAAGAUUUUAAAGGCAAAUAUGGAAGGUUACAUAGUUAUGAGCUCUUAAUAAAAUAUUAUUGAGCUUAAUAAAAUAAUAAAAGAGCUAAUACUUAGCUCUUUUAAUAUGAGCUAAUACUUAGCUCUUUUGAUAUUGAGAAGACUGAAUUUUCUUAAGUAAUCAAAGACCUGAAAAAGACAACAUGAAGCACAGGAAAUUAUUUUGGUAAGACACAAAAUCAUUGCUUUCCAGGUAGAUUACCCAAAAGGUUAAAAAAAAAAAAAACAAAAAACAACUUUCAGGAGCGUGGGUGGCUCAGUGGGUUGAACAUCUGAUCCUUGCUUUCGGCUCAAGUCAUGAUCCUGGGGUUGUGGGAUGGAGCCUUGUCAGAGUCUGUGCUGAGCGUGGAGCCUGCUUAAGAUUCUCUCUCUCUCUCUCUCUCUCUCUCUCUCUCUCAAAUAGAAUAACAAAACUAAAAAAAAAAAAAAAAUCUUUCACAGCUCUUACCGAGAACAGACCAAUAUGGUUGGACCUAGAGAAUAUCCUAAGUGAAAUAAGUCAAACAAAAAUAUCAGAUGAUUUCAAUUAUAAGUGGAAUCUAAAAGGCAAAACAAAUGAACAAACAGUAGAAACAGACCCCAUAAAUAGAGAGCAAACUGCUGGUGGCCGGAGGGGAGGGAGUGGGGGGAAGGGCAAAA